This 253-nucleotide ribosomal RNA is filed under the name uncultured bacterium. RNAcentral's name for it is "partial 16S ribosomal RNA". It matches the Rfam family "Bacterial small subunit ribosomal RNA", at positions 524 to 776 of the family's 1533-position model. The record is from RNAcentral.
UACGUAGGGUGCAAGCGUUAAUCGGAAUUACUGGGCGUAAAGCGUGCGCAGGCGGUGAUGUAAGACAGGUGUGAAAUCCCCGGGCUUAACCUGGGAACUGCAUUUGUGACUGCAUCGCUGGAGUGCGGCAGAGGGGGAUGGAAUUCCGCGUGUAGCAGUGAAAUGCGUAGAGAUGUGGAGGAACACCGAUGGCGAAGGCAGCCCCCUGGGCCAAUACUGACGCUCAUGCACGAAAGCGUGGGGAGCAAACAGG